This 537-nucleotide ribosomal RNA is filed under the name cf. Chapoda sp. Arizona. RNAcentral describes it as "partial 16S ribosomal RNA". The stretch from base 147 to 442 matches the Rfam family "Archaeal large subunit ribosomal RNA", at positions 2150 to 2716 of the family's 2987-position model. The record is from RNAcentral. Lineage: Eukaryota; Metazoa; Arthropoda; Arachnida; Araneae; Salticidae.
GAUAUUUAAAUAGCCGCAAUUUGUGCUAAGGUAGCAUAAUCAUUUGUCUUUUAAAUGAAGACUAGAACAAAAGAUUUAAUAUUUAAGAUUAUUUAUUUAAUAUUUUCAACUCAAAUUAUUUUAAAUGUAAAAAAACACUUAUAAAUUGGAAAGACGACAAGACCCUUUUGAACUUAACUUGAGUUUAACUGGGGUAGUUAAUUAAUUAUUAUUUUAAUAAUAAUUUUUAUAAAAAUAUCCAAACAUUUGAAUUAUUCAGUUACCACAGGGAUAACAGCGCAAUUUUAUUUUAAAGUUCUUAUAUAAAAAAUAGAUUACGACCUCGAUGUUGAAUUAAUAACCUAAUUAAAGCAAGAUUUAAAAAAGGAAGUCUGUUCGACUUUUAAACAAUUACAUGAUUUGAGUUCAGACCGGUAUAAGCCAGGUCGGUUUCCAUCUUCCAAAAAUCUUCUUACAGUACGAAAGGGCCUAAGAAUUUAAUUUAAUUAAAUUAAUUGGCAGAAAAAUGCAUUAGAAUUAGAAUCUAAUAAAACUAGU